This 553-nucleotide ribosomal RNA is filed under the name uncultured bacterium. RNAcentral describes it as "partial 16S ribosomal RNA". It matches the Rfam family "Bacterial small subunit ribosomal RNA", at positions 356 to 900 of the family's 1533-position model. The record is from RNAcentral.
AGGGAAUCUUCCACAAUGGACGCAAGUCUGAUGGAGCAACGCCGCGUGAGUGAAGAAGGCUUUCGGGUCGUAAAACUCUGUUGUUGGAGAAGAAUGGUCGGCAGAGUAACUGUUGUCGGCGUGACGGUAUCCAACCAGAAAGCCACGGCUAACUACGUGCCAGCAGCCGCGGUAAUACGUAGGUGGCAAGCGUUAUCCGGAUUUAUUGGGCGUAAAGCGAGCGCAGGCGGUUUUUUAAGUCUGAUGUGAAAGCCCUCGGCUUAACCGAGGAAGUGCAUCGGAAACUGGGAAACUUGAGUGCAGAAGAGGACAGUGGAACUCCAUGUGUAGCGGUGAAAUGCGUAGAUAUAUGGAAGAACACCAGUGGCGAAGGCGGCUGUCUGGUCUGUAACUGACGCUGAGGCUCGAAAGCAUGGGUAGCGAACAGGAUUAGAUACCCUGGUAGUCCAUGCCGUAAACGAUGAAUGCUAGGUGUUGGAGGGUUUCCGCCCUUCAGUGCCGCAGCUAACGCAUUAAGCAUUCCGCCUGGGGAGUACGACCGCAAGGUUGAAAC